RNAcentral lists this ribosomal RNA (439 nucleotides) under uncultured bacterium. RNAcentral's name for it is "partial 16S ribosomal RNA". It matches the Rfam family "Bacterial small subunit ribosomal RNA", at positions 355 to 786 of the family's 1533-position model. The record is from RNAcentral.
UAGGGAAUCUUCCACAAUGGACGCAAGUCUGAUGGAGCAACGCCGCGUGAGUGAAGAAGGUCUUCGGAUCGUAAAGCUCUGUUGUUGGUGAAGAAGGAUAGAGACAGUAACUGGUCUUUAUUUGACGGUAAUCAACCAGAAAGUCACGGCUAACUACGUGCCAGCAGCCGCGGUAAUACGUAGGUGGCAAGCGUUGUCCGGAUUUAUUGGGCGUAAAGCGAGCGCAGGCGGAAUGAUAAGUCUGAUGUGAAAGCCCACGGCUCAACCGUGGAACUGCAUCGGAAACUGUCAUUCUUGAGUGCAGAAGAGGAGAGUGGAACUCCAUGUGUAGCGGUGGAAUGCGUAGAUAUAUGGAAGAACACCAGUGGCGAAGGCGGCUCUCUGGUCUGCAACUGACGCUGAGGCUCGAAAGCAUGGGUAGCGAACAGGAUUAGAUACC